CAUAGCAAGCAAAAGUGUCUGUGGUCUACAAGUUCGAGGACUAGAGUCUGGAAAACAGAUUCAGCUGCGCCAAGCCUAUACUCGUGGUUUCAUCCCGGUCGACAAGUCCUACAUUCCGACUUCCGAAACAGCGCUGCUCUGGCCUCAUCUAAAGCAUCUAGCAAACAAACUUCCACUGCUGAAGGACUGUGAGGUGGGACUGUUAAUUGGAAACGAUUGCCCGUUGGCGCUAGCCCCCCAGGAAGUCGUCAUAGGAGGCGAAAAUGAUCCAUUCGCCCAGAGAACGGAACUCGGCUGGAGCAUCGUAGGCUAAUCCAAUCCACAUCUGGAUCGCCAGGGAAACCAGAGGUUCGUCCAUCGAGUGACAGUGAAGGAAAUACCAGCGCCAUCAACCAAUGACGUGCUGAAGGUCUUGGAAUCAGACUUCAAUGAAAGGAAGUAUGCAGAUAAAGACAAGUAUGUGUCACAAGACGACGUUCGCUUCAUUCAGCUCCUGGGUGACAACAUAACUCAAAGGAAAGAUGGACACUAUGAAAUGCCCCUUCCUUUCAAGAGUACAGAGCCACCUCUGCUACCAGACAACAAGAAGCUGGCAACAGUUCUACUGCAGCACCUAAAGAAAAGAUUGAAAAAUAACGAGCGGUAUGAAGAACCGUACAAAGCCUUCAUGAAGGAUAUGAUAAAGAAAGGUGACGCAGAGCCAGCCUCUCCUGCGACAGAACAGCAGACUACGUGGUACAUACCACACCAUGGGGUGUUCCACCCCAAGAAGCCAGAGAAGCUAAGGGUCGUCUUUGACUGUUCAGCGAAGUUCCGUGGUGUCUCACUAAAUGAUACAUUGCUAACAGGUCCUGACCUGAUCAACUCUCUCCUUGGAGUGCUCUGUCGUUUCAGGAAAGAGGCUGCAGCCAUCAUUUGCGACAUCGAGAAAAUGUUCCAUCAGUUUUACGUUUCUCCUGAAUUACGGAACUACUUACGGUUUCUCUGGUGGGAGGAUGGAAACCUCGAAGCAGAGUCUCAAGAGUAUCAAAUGGCUGUCCACCUAUUCGGUGCCGCUUCGUCACCCGGAUGUGCCAACUUUGGCCUGAAGUACUUGGCACGUCAACACAAGGAAGAGUAUCCAUCAGCAUCAGCCUUUGUUGAAAAGAACUUCUACGUCGAUGAUGGGCUUAUCAGCGUCCCCUCCGUAGAAGAAGCAAAGGAGUUAAUUGCUGAAGCACAAGAGUUGUGCAAGAAAGGAGGUUUGCGUCUACACAAGUUCAACUCAAACGAAAGAUCAGUUCUGGACUCUGUGGACCCAACUGAGAGAGCAGUCACAUCUGAACCCCUAAAUCUGGACCUAAAUGCAGCUCCAGCAGAACGUGCUCUUGGUGUCCAGUGGUCCCUUGAACACGACACCUUCAGCCUCAAUGUAAACCCACAACCCAGGCCAUCCACACGUCGCGGAAUCCUAUCCGUCAUUGCUUCUUUGUACGAUCCAGUCGGAUUCGUGGCUCCGUUUAUCUUAACUGGAAAGUGCGUCCUCCAGGAACUGUGUCGUCGAGGCAUUGACUGGGAUGACCCACUUCCCGAAGACUUAAGUCCACGGUGGGAGAGUUGGAAGAGCGACCUACAAAGGCUGAAGGAAGUCUCAAUACCGAGAUGCUACCAACCACAAGGCUUCUGCAAAACUGUCACAAGGGAACUGCACCACUUUUCCGAUGCCAGCAAUAUAGGAUAUGGCUCGUGUUCCUAUCUGAGAAGCAAAAAUGAAGAUGGUGAAGUUCACUGCAGCCUCGUGAUGGCAAAGGCUAGAGUUGCGCCUACAAAACUCACAAGCAUUCCAAGAUUGGAACUUUCAGCAGCAGUGGUCGCUGCAAGAUCAAGUGUCAUGCUGAGAAACAAGCUUGAAAUGCCGAUCCAUGCAGAAUUCUUCUGGACUGACUCCCAAGUUGUCCUGGCUUAUAUCAGUAAUGAAGCAAGAAGGUUCCAUGUCUUCGUUGCCAAUCGUGUGCAAAUGAUCAGAGAGCACACCAGCCCCAGCCAAUGGCACUACAUAGACACAACAGAAAACCCUGCUGACCAUGCGUCGAGAGGUCUAAACGCAGUGGACAUCUCCUCAACAAACUGGCUAUCAGGACCCAAGUUCCUGUGGGAACAAGAAAUACAUCCAGAGUCUCGCCUCACUCCUGAGUUGCUUGUCGGUGAUCCUGAGGUCAGGUCAAUGCAGGCGUUCACAACUAAGGUUGAACCUUCCGAGUCAGACUUUCUUACCCGUCUAAAUCGAUUCUCCUCCUGGUCAAAACUCCUGAAAGUCAUUGCAAGAAUCAAGAGGCUGAACUCAAAGCAAAAUCAUCCUGGCAAACCUGUGAGUGUAGAAGAACGCGAAAGAGCUGCCAAAUCGGUAGUGAAGCUUGUACAAGAAGAAGCAGAGAUGGAGACACUUCAAAAGGGAAAAAGUCUUCAAAACUCCAGCCCUCUGUUUCGCUUGAAUCCCAUCUUAGAAGGAGGAGCACUUCGUGUUGGUGGAAGACUGGAUCAGUCAUCCUUAAGCCUAGAAGUCAAACACCCUUUGAUUCUACCCAAAGGAGAACAUAUUACCAAGUUGAUUUUGACCCACUGCCACGAGAGGAUCUGUCACCAAGGACGUAAUCAAACUCUAACAGAACUUCGAGCCAAUGGGUUUUGGGUCAUUGGUGGAAGUAAUUCAGUUGCUAAGCUGAUACACAGAUGUGUGAAGUGCAGAAGACUCAGACGGCCUGUAGAAGAACAACGCAUGGCAGAGCUUCCUAAGGAACGUGUGGAAGUCUCUGCUCCCUUCACAUACUGUGGCAUCGAUUGCUUCGGCCCAUUCAUCACUAAGAAAGCCCGCAAAGAGCAAAAGCGCUAUGGCUUAAUCUUCACUUGCCUUGCCUCUCGAUCUGUUCACAUUGAGAUGCUUGAGGACUUAUCCACAGAUGCAUUUAUCAACGCCUUAAGAUGCUUCAUCAGUCUCAGAGGAGCUGUUCGUCAAAUCCAUUGCGAUCAAGGAACCAAUUUUGUGGGAGCUAGAAAUGAGUUCCAAGAGUCACUGAAACAAUGUGACACCAAAACAAUCGAUAGCUUCCUCGCAGAAAAGCAGUGUGAGUUCAUCUUCAAUGCUCCCUCAGCAAGUCACGCUGGCGGCGUGUGGGGAGCGCCAGAUUCGGACUGUCCGUAAUGUCUUAAAUGCCACACUCUGUCAAUACUUAGGCAGACUCGACGACUCUUCCCUUCGAACUCUGUUCUAUGAGGCGAUGGCCAUUGUGAACAGCCGCCCGUUAACUGUAAACGGAGUAAAUGAUCCUACCUCACUCGAACCAUUAACUCCAAACCAUCUCAUACUGAUGAAGUCCAAGAUUGCACUUCCACCGCCUGGCAAAUUUGAGAAGGAGGAUGUGUAUGCAACUAAAAGGUGGCGAAGAGUCCAGUACCUUGUUGAACAGUUCUGGAGCCGGUGGAGGAGAGAAUAUCUCAUGAACAUCUCCACACGCCAAAAGUGGCAUACAACUCGACGCAGCCUUAAGGUAGACGACUUAGUCAUUAUAAGGGAAGACACCCCUAGAAAUCAGUGGCACCUGGGACGAGUGGUUGAAACCACAAAAGGGGAGCGAUGGUCUAGUGCGUCGCGUCAAGGUGUUAGUAGGGGAAAGAACAUCAGCAAAACAAGAUCGCCCUACCAAACCUUUGAUCAUAGAAAGACCCAUUCAGAAACUAGUUCUCCUCCUCGAGAGUGAGUAAUCAGUCUAGUUGUCUGCACCUUUUAUUUCCUCAUGACAGUCUAUUCUCUCCUAGAUAUUAAGUAAUACUCACCUACACACAUCUAGAAACACUGAUACAGACAGGACUCAAGUAUGAUCCGUUCAGCCAGGUUGACCCUUGUCUUCACUCUUCAUAACAUGAGUGGUGGGAGUGUAAAUGACCACUAGCAGUGUUCUUUUAUUUUGAUGAUCCUGUUUCCUACUUAGAUUUUAUGUGACUUUUAUUUUGACAUCAUGCUAUCUGCUCACGUGAUUAAUCGCUCGCGCUCAUGCUCACGCUCACAUUUGUUUAAUAGAAGACACAAGAAGCUAGCUAGCAACUUAAUAAAUUAAGCUAAUGGCGGCGGACUUCCCUGAAUUACUACUUUAUAGCACCCUUUGAUAUUCGGAGCGAGGUAUGUGGUUCAUUGUAAUUGUAAUUCAUGUAAAUUCAUUUCAUAUAAUGACUCUUGCCUGCUAUGCCGUUAUCCAUGUAUGGUAAAGUGCAUUUGUCAAGGGAUUAUUUUGUAUCUGGCUAAAUUGUUAUUUCCCUUUUUAGUUUUCACGGUGACGGUGUUGGUGUUGGUGCUAUGCACACUCAACUGAAUUAAAGUACACCCGUCUGGAAACACUCCCAAGCCUGUUUAUUCCAAGUUGAAGGGAUGCUACAGUGAUGAUAGUGGAAACAAUGACAUUGUUACAUGGUCUCAUGUCUCCUUGUUACUUCUCAGACCACAUUUCCUUGUUCUACUUGCAGUCAGGCCUUUACUGCUCGCUGACGUGUCUCCUCCCACUUCCCGCAACACCAGUAAUUCUUGAAAAAACAACUUCCUCCUUCUCUGCCUGCUGCACUCUCUUAUUCAGAUGCCUAAUAACAUUUCACUUUGCGUUAGAGGCCCGGUUAAUUUCUAUAAAAGCUUAAAAUCAGUUUGACUCCUGAGUAUCUAAUUAAGGUAAAAUUACCAAUACCAUCGGUGUAUCUUAAGCAUCGAACAAAACAAAAUGUCUGCUUUUCAACUACGGUUGUCAUGAUACCAAAAUUAUGACUUCGAUACUAUACCUGCCAAAAUAUUACAGUACCCGAUACUUAUGAUACGAUACCACAAAUAGGAUAGGCUACUGGAAUAUUUAUCUAUGAUAGUAAUCAAUAAAAAAUCUGUAAGGUUCCCUUUUUUACCUGGCAUCUGAUUGACUGUCUGUGGGAUAAACAAUGCUUAAUUUACUUCAUAUAGCGAGUUUGAUAUUCUCACAUUCAUAUUUCCUUAACUAAAAAUAAAAAGAAUUAGGUGAAGAUCCACCCUCAGGCUCCACCAGCAUGUAGCCUAUUGCAUCAAGUGUGUAUUAUUUGACUUUGUGUAUAAUGACUUUUGUGUGCAUUCUGACUUCAUGAUCAAAAAGGCCCACAUGAGUGAAAUUGUAGGUUAUUUUGCGUGUAUAUAUUUCUGCUGGACUAUUCAGGAACUUAUUUGCUGUCUUGUCUUUGUCUUGUGUUGCACUUGCUUGAUGUUUGACUG
Molecule: long non-coding RNA, 5251 nt
Organism: Gasterosteus aculeatus aculeatus (three-spined stickleback)
Lineage: Eukaryota; Metazoa; Chordata; Actinopteri; Perciformes; Gasterosteidae
Source: Ensembl